RNAcentral lists this long non-coding RNA (205 nucleotides) under Elaeis guineensis (African oil palm). RNAcentral describes it as "long non-coding RNA (EGUI_LNC019690)". Lineage: Eukaryota; Viridiplantae; Streptophyta; Magnoliopsida; Arecales; Arecaceae. The record is from RNAcentral.
GACUCAAUUAAAUUACAGGAUCUAGUUUACAAUGGAACUUUGGCUUGGUCUGACUGAAGAUCUUAAACUUAGCGCUUGUUGGGAGGCAACCCAAUAUUUUAUUUUUUAGCUAUUCAGUUUUUUUUAUUUUAUAAAAAUUUUUGAAAAGGAUAAUUAGCCAAGUUGGGGAGAGCACUAUAAUCAAUGGAGUCAAGAACACACUAGC